CCUACAUGCACCCCCUGAAAGAAUAUCUAAGUAUUCCAAGUUCUAAAAAAAAAUUAAAAUGUAGAAUUUGGCUGCUGACUUCCUUAAAUGUGAACAAAGCAUAGCGGUACAGCGAAGGAACAAAGUCUAUCUUUGGGACAGGAAGAACACUGGCGAAGAAGAACAGAACGUCAGCAGGAUUCAGUGGAACAUGGGCUCCUGGUGAGGGGACAGUGCAGGAAAAAAGCAAAACUACAUUAGAAGGUUGGCCUCCAAGACUUGAACCCUGGCAUUGCUGGAUGUCCUCUCUAGAGUGGAUUCUAGAACAUCUGCUGUACUUAGCACAGAGAACUGCAGCGUUUGCAUUGUUACAGGGUAGGAGGAAAGAACUUUACAUACGCUAAUGUUCCA
This 390-nucleotide long non-coding RNA is filed under the name Fukomys damarensis (Damara mole-rat). RNAcentral's name for it is "lncRNA (ENSFDAG00000031767.1)". Lineage: Eukaryota; Metazoa; Chordata; Mammalia; Rodentia; Bathyergidae. The record is from RNAcentral.